This 18-nucleotide non-coding RNA is filed under the name Arabidopsis thaliana (thale cress). The record is from RNAcentral. Lineage: Eukaryota; Viridiplantae; Streptophyta; Magnoliopsida; Brassicales; Brassicaceae.
UGGUGUGCAUUGGUCGGC